CUACAAAGGAAUUGACGGGGACCCGCACAAGCGGUGGAUGAUGUGGAUUAAUUCGAUGCAACGCGAAAAACCUUACCUACCCUUGACAUGUCCGGAAUCCCGAAGAGAUUUGGGAGUGCUCGCAAGAGAACCGGAACACAGGUGCUGCAUGGCUGUCGUCAGCUCGUGUCGUGAGAUGUUGGGUUAAGUCCCGCAACGAGCGCAACCCUUGUCAUUAGUUGCCAUCAUUUGGUUGGGCACUCUAAUGAGACUGCCGGUGACAAACCGGAGGAAGGUGGGGAUGACGUCAAGUCCUCAUGGCCCUUAUGGGUAGGGCUUCACACGUCAUACAAUGGCCGGUACAGAGGGUAGCCAACCCGCGAGGGGGAGCCAAUCCCACAAAGCCGGUCGUAGUCCGGAUCGCAGUCUGCAACUCGACUGCGUGAAGUCGGAAUCGCUAGUAAUCGCGGAUCAGCAUGUCGCGGUGAAUACGUUCCCGGGUCUU
RNAcentral lists this ribosomal RNA (484 nucleotides) under uncultured Rhodocyclaceae bacterium. RNAcentral's name for it is "bacterial SSU rRNA". It matches the Rfam family "Bacterial small subunit ribosomal RNA", at positions 903 to 1382 of the family's 1533-position model. The record is from RNAcentral. Lineage: Bacteria; Pseudomonadati; Pseudomonadota; Betaproteobacteria; Rhodocyclales; Rhodocyclaceae.